This 125-nucleotide small RNA is filed under the name Marmota monax (woodchuck). The record is from RNAcentral. Lineage: Eukaryota; Metazoa; Chordata; Mammalia; Rodentia; Sciuridae.
AUCGGGUGUGGUGGUGUAUGCCUGUAAUCCCAGGGACUUGGGAGGCUGAGGCAGGAGGAUCACUAGUUCAAAGCCAACCUCAGCAACAGCAAGGCCCUAAGCAACUCAGUGAGACCCUAUCUCUA